This is a long non-coding RNA of Symphalangus syndactylus (siamang), 326 nucleotides long. RefSeq lists it as uncharacterized. NCBI's taxonomy places the organism in Eukaryota, Metazoa, Chordata, Mammalia, Primates, Hylobatidae. The record is from RefSeq and is a predicted model, not a curated record.
GACACAUUAGUGUCAGACACAGCAUUCAGGUGAAAUAGAAGAACAAGAACACAGGUUUCAUGCUUACAAAUACACCUUCUCAAAGAAGAGGUCAGAAAGUCGGACAUGGUGUGGCAUGAUGGCUGGCCUCUUUUCCAUGAUGUCUGCCCCAGCUGAUAACCAGAAUUAACCACCAGCUCUGUGAGUGAAUGAGCCUUCAGAUGAUUCCAUCCCCUUGAUGUUUUCCAUCUGAAGUUGCAAGACAACAUGAAGGUUCUUAGGAAGGUGAUGAGGAAAUUGAGAUACAGAAAGGUGAAGAAAUAAUGUCACAUAGCAGUGGAGUCAGA